This 1181-nucleotide long non-coding RNA is filed under the name Salmo salar (Atlantic salmon). RNAcentral's name for it is "lncRNA (ENSSSAG00000086247.1)". The record is from RNAcentral. Lineage: Eukaryota; Metazoa; Chordata; Actinopteri; Salmoniformes; Salmonidae.
GCAGAGAGGAGUGGAGGAAGAGAGGAGUGGAGGCAGAGAGGAGUGGAGGCAGAGAGGUGUGGAGGAAGAGAGGAGUGGAGGCAGAGAGGAGUGGAGGAAGAGAGGAGUGGAGGAAGAGAGGAGUGGAGGCAGAGAGGAGUGGAGGAAGAGAGGAGUGGAGGCAGAGAGGAGUGGAGGAAGAGAGGAGUGGAGGAAGAGAGGAGUGGAGUUAGAGAGGAGUGGAGGCAGAGAUGAGUGGAGGAAGAGAGGAGUGGAGGAAGAGAGGAGUGGAGGCAGAGAGGUGUGGAGGCAGAGAGGAGUGGAGGAAGGGCGGAGUGGAGGCAGAGAGGAGUGGAGGAAGGGAGGAGUGGAGGCAGAGAGGAGUGGAGGAAGAGAGGAGUGGAGGCAGAGAGGAGUGGAGGAAGAGAGGAGUGGAGGAAGGGCGGAGUGGAGGCAGAGAGGAGUGGAGGUAGAGGAGUGGAGGGAGAGAGGAGUGGAGGCAGAGAGGAGUGGAGGUAGAGGAGUGGAGGCAGAGAGGGGUGGAGGCAGAGAGGGGUGACAUGUGUCUGGGAAAAGGAGUAAUACACACAUUGAGGUGAUCAGUGAGGUGUGUAGUGGGAAAAGGGGUAAUACACACAUUGAGGUGAUCAGUGAGGUGUGUAGUGGGAUAGAGAGAGGAGCUGUGACAUGGUAAAUACCUUCUGGAAAACUGAGAGACUCUAAAGGUUCCGUUCUGCAAGGCUCAGGACAGGUAGUGAUGGAGGGGGAACAGUCAGACCAGGGCUUGAACCGGAGACCCUGGGUUACAGGGCAGGCAUUCUGCCAUAAAGGUCCAGACCUCUUGGCAGAGGGCGUAGUGUGCUCACAUACAAGGAGACAACCCAACAUAGACCAGGGGCUGAUACAGUGGAUUGAUUCAUCAGUGUCAAACCAAACGUGUGGCUUAGUUAGAAAUGGACUCUUUGGUUCAUUUUCCAAAUACAGGUGUCCUAUGUAUGCACACACACACACAUUCAUCAACAUACACACACAGGCACACACACACACAUUCAUCAACAUACACACACACAGGCACACACACACACAUUCAUCAACAUACACACACACAGGCACACACACACACAUUCAUCAACAUACACACACACAGGCACACGCACACAUUCAUCAACAUACACACACACACACAGGCACACACACACACA